GAGUUGAUCGUGGCUCAGAUUGAACGCUGGCGGCAUGCCUUACACAUGCAAGUCGAACGGUAACAGGUCUUCGGAUGCUGACGAGUGGCGAACGGGUGAGUAAUACAUCGGAACGUGCCCGAUCGUGGGGGAUAACGGAGCGAAAGCUUUGCUAAUACCGCAUACGAUCUACGGAUGAAAGCAGGGGACCGCAAGGCCUUGCGCGGACGGAGCGGCCGAUGGCAGAUUAGGUAGUUGGUGGGAUAAAAGCUUACCAAGCCGACGAUCUGUAGCUGGUCUGAGAGGACGACCAGCCACACUGGGACUGAGACACGGCCCAGACUCCUACGGGAGGCAGCAGUGGGGAAUUUUGGACAAUGGGCGAAAGCCUGAUCCAGCCAUGCCGCGUGCAGGAUGAAGGCCUCGGUUGUAAC
This 413-nucleotide ribosomal RNA is filed under the name uncultured microorganism. Its description in RNAcentral is "bacterial SSU rRNA". It matches the Rfam family "Bacterial small subunit ribosomal RNA", at positions 9 to 429 of the family's 1533-position model. The record is from RNAcentral.